This 311-nucleotide ribosomal RNA is filed under the name Comamonas sp. 33(2010). Its description in RNAcentral is "bacterial SSU rRNA". It matches the Rfam family "Bacterial small subunit ribosomal RNA", at positions 202 to 505 of the family's 1533-position model. The record is from RNAcentral. Lineage: Bacteria; Pseudomonadati; Pseudomonadota; Betaproteobacteria; Burkholderiales; Comamonadaceae.
ACCUUCAGGCCUUGUGCUACUAGAGCGGCCGAUGGCAGAUUAGGUAGUUGGUGGGAUAAAAGCUUACCAAGCCUACGAUCUGUAGCUGGUCUGAGAGGACGAUCAGCCACACUGGGACUGAGACACGGCCCAGACUCCUACGGGAGGCAGCAGUGGGGAAUUUUGGACAAUGGGGGAAACCCUGAUCCAGCAAUGCCGCGUGCAGGAUGAAGGCCUUCGGGUUGUAAACUGCUUUUGUACGGAACGAAAAGUCUUGGGUUAAUACCCUGGGAUCAUGACGGUACCGUAAGAAUAAGCACCGGCUAACUACG